UGACGCUGAGGGACGAAAGCUAGGGGAGCGAAUGGGAUUAGAUACCCCAGUAGUCCUAGCCGUAAACGAUGGAGACUAGGUGUUGCCUGUAUCGACCCGGGCAGUGCCGAAGCCAACGCGUUAAGUCUCCCGCCUGGGGAGUACGCACGCAAGUGUGAAACUCAAAGGAAUUGACGGGGGCCCGCACAAGCGGUGGAGUAUGUGGUUUAAUUCGAUGCAACGCGAAGAACCUUACCAGGGCUUGACAUCCCGCGAAUCCCGGCGAAAGUUGGGAGUGCCUACGGGAGCGCGGAGACAGGUGGUGCAUGGCUGUCGUCAGCUCGUGUCGUGAGAUGUUGGGUUAAGUCCCGCAACGAGCGCAACCCUCGUCCUUAGUUGCCAGCCUUAAGUGGGGCACUCUAGGGAGACUGCCGGUGAUAAACCGGAGGAAGGUGGGGAUGACGUCAAGUCAUCAUGCCCCAUAUGUCCUGGGCGACACACGUACUACAAUGGUCGGGACAGCGAGCAGCCAACUCGCGAGAGUGAGCUAAUCUCUCAAACCCGGCCUCAGUUCAGAUUGCAGGCUGCAACUCGCCUGCAUGAAGGAGGAAUCGCUAGUAAUCGCAGGUCAGCAUACUGCGGUGAAUCCGUUCCCGGGCCUUGUACACACCGCCCGUCACACCAUGGAAGUCGGCCAUGCCCGAAGUCAUUACUCUAACCGUUCGCGGAGGAGGGUGCCGAAGGCAGGGCUGAUGACUGGGGUGAAGUCGUAACAAGGUAGCCGUACCGGAAGGUGUGGCUGGAUCACCU
RNAcentral lists this ribosomal RNA (789 nucleotides) under uncultured bacterium. RNAcentral's name for it is "bacterial SSU rRNA". It matches the Rfam family "Bacterial small subunit ribosomal RNA", at positions 741 to 1528 of the family's 1533-position model. The record is from RNAcentral.